This 398-nucleotide ribosomal RNA is filed under the name uncultured bacterium. RNAcentral describes it as "bacterial SSU rRNA". It matches the Rfam family "Bacterial small subunit ribosomal RNA", at positions 29 to 418 of the family's 1533-position model. The record is from RNAcentral.
AACGAACGCUGGCGGCAUGCCUAACACAUGCAAGUUGAGCGAGAAUCGAAGGGCUUGCCUUUCGAAGACAGCAGCGCACGGGUGAGUAAUAUAUGGGUAACGUUCCCUUGGGCUUGGAAUAACUCUCCGAAAGGAGUGCUAAUACCAAAUACAUUCACGAGAAGUUCGCUUCUUGUGGAGAAAGCGGGGUAACUCGCACCUAAGGAUCGGCUCAUAUCCCAUCAGCUAGUUGGUAAGGUAACGGCUUACCAAGGCUACGACGGGUAACUGGUCUGAGAGGAUGAUCAGUCACACUGGAACUGAGACACGGUCCAGACUCCUACGGGAGGCAGCAGUGGGGAAUAUUGGUCAAUGGGCGAAAGCCUGAACCAGCAAUGCCGCUGGGUGAUGAAGGCCUC